UGUAUGUUGUAGUUAUAAAUUCUGUACUUAUGUACAUAUGUAAUAAGUAGUCAACUAAAUUGGAGAUACUUACAGGGUAAGUUACAUAAUUUCAAAUUGCUCAAUUGUGCUUUAUUUUCGAAAUAGUUUACACAAUUAAUUUUAAACAGAUGUAUGAAUUUUUGUGUAAUUCUGCUUUUUAGAUAAGCAGAAAUAUUUACGUAAGUAUGUAUUUAUCCUGAAAAUCUGGAUGCCCUGGAAUAAUGAGUUCAUAUUAUCUAAUUUGAUGACAACGUAUUACUUAAUCACCGAUUUGUUCCAGCUUGAUUUAUUUAUAAUUGGCACGAAUGCAUAGUAAUUCUUGAUUUCGAUUUCCUGAUCUCUAAAUGUUUCACCUGGUAGAAAAAUAUAAAAGUUUUAUUACCAAUUAAAAACUAAUUAUGAAACGUGUAACAGCACUACUGAAUAUUUAAUGUGAAUACAUCGUUUAACAUAAUAAUCAGGGAAAUCCCACUUUCCUUGCGUUUACUAAAAACAGCUCUUACUCACAUCUUAAAUCUUGAAAAUAAGUCAUAAAAAUAAAUUGUAUAUGUAAAACACAGGAUGUAGAAUGAGAUGCAAAAAAUGGACACGGAUUUGUCAUUGCCGUGGAAGACCUUCUAAAUACAUUAUGCAGAUAUGCAACCCCUUCAACUUUAAUUUGUCCCAGGAAUUGUGUGAUGUUGAGAGAAUUGUUGAGAGAAUGACCUUGGUAUUCAAAAUAAUAUCGCUUGUAAUGCAAUGAAAUUUGUAGCUGUUUUUUAUUUAGGGGAACACUAAUAAUAAUUGAGAGAUGUUGCAUUUUACGAGAAUUUCAUUUGCGACAAAGUUCACUGUUAAAUACAUUCCCUGCAUUUCUACAUGAGUCUGUUUCCUAAUAGCGUGCAUCGCAAACCACGCUUCCCAUGUUGUUAGUGUUCAAUUACUAUAAAAUAACAAUAACGACAUGAUAGAAACAGGCUGGAGGUCUAUUUACUUAAAAUACAAUGCUUAUGGUUUAACAUUGUCCAUAAUACCACGAUGUCACUGUCAUUCUUUCGUAAACUCAUUGCAUUAGAAUGGGAGGACGGCAGGAGGGUUAUCUUUUGUUCCCGAUGGCUAAUCGCUGUCCAUGUCAUUCCACCAAUUUAUUUGCAUACUUUUCCAUUUGUCAUGUGGAUAGCAAUUUACCAAGUAGCGAGGGAAUCACAUUUUCAAUGACGGAUAUAGCUAUACCAGUUCGCAGUGGUGGAAUCAAUUUACAGCACGCCAACGACCAACACAAUCUUUCAAGAUUUCAGAGAAAUUGACACUGAAAUCUACAAAAAUAGCUGGGACGAGGUUGGCUAAAACCAGCUUCGUUAAUGUGAAUGACAUUUCUACAAAUUUUCAGCGACUAUAAUGACAUCAGUAGAGAAACUGACUGCUAGGGGCUGUUGUUAACUUGUAAAUUGCACGCACCUAAUGUGCUGUGUCGAACGCAAUAAUGAAAUUGACUUGUACCACUUAUUUUUUUAGAAAGGCCCGAUGACCCCCUAAAAAUGCCGCACAUGAUUUGUCCUUCAAUUCUAAACUCAACGUCCAUUGUCGUCCAUGUGGUCCCUUCAUUUGAAUUAAUACAAAAUGUAUUUGCAUUCAUGCAUGACAAUUGGUUCACAACAAUUAUAUGCAGUGUCGCAAGCGUUGAGACCAAGAUCAAGUCAAUACAUAAAUAAUUCAAUCAUUCGUCUUAAGUUGUUGUUAUUUAUCACCACAACGUCUUCUGCUUUGUUGUCGUUGGUGUCCAAAGUAAGUGCCACCAUGAUUGGUCCUAAGAUUCCACAUGCCGCACCCACCGUGGAAGCAAAUCCUGAUCCUGUACUGCGUAGCUGAGUGGGAAAUAUCUCGGCUCCUUGCAAGUAAACCACUAGGAAGUCAGGAAACUUACUUUGCAACCACAACUGAAAUAAUUUCAAUCACAGGAUUAUUCAAAAAUUGCACAAUCGCAGCAGAGGCAGCACACGCUAAAGUGCAUCCACAGAAGAAAAUGACCUGGGUCCAU
Long non-coding RNA from Folsomia candida, 2038 nucleotides. RefSeq lists it as uncharacterized. NCBI's taxonomy places the organism in Eukaryota, Metazoa, Arthropoda, Collembola, Entomobryomorpha, Isotomidae. The transcript is spliced from 3 exons. The record is from RefSeq and is a predicted model, not a curated record.